ACACCGUUGGUGAAGUGGUUAUCAUGCUUGCCUUCCAUUCCCAUUUUCUCCUCGUGAACAGCAAGCGGCUCGGGUUCGAUUCCCGAACGGUGUA
Marasmius sp. AFHP31 is the source of this 94-nucleotide non-coding RNA. The record is from the annotation of a GenBank genome assembly. NCBI's taxonomy places the organism in Eukaryota, Fungi, Basidiomycota, Agaricomycetes, Agaricales, Marasmiaceae.